AGAAAGAAAAGGCAAUAAAAUAGGGCUGCUAACUCUGUUUUGGGCGGCUCAAUUCCGUCCUCUUUCUU
Molecule: transfer RNA, 68 nt
Filed under: Trochus rota
Lineage: Eukaryota; Metazoa; Mollusca; Gastropoda; Trochida; Trochidae
Also listed under: 1 other name
Description: tRNA-Ser
Source: RNAcentral